AGUGAACGCUGGCGGUAGGCCUAACACAUGCAAGUCGAACGGCAGCACAGUAAGAGCUUGCUCUUACGGGUGGCGAGUGGCGGACGGGUGAGGAAUACAUCGGAGUCUACUUUUUCGUGGGGGAUAACGUAGGGAAACUUACGCUAAUACCGCAUACGACCUACGGGUGAAAGCAGGGGAUCUUCGGACCUUGCGCGAUUGAAUGAGCCGAUGUCGGAUUAGCUAGUUGGCGGGGUAAAGGCCCACCAAGGCGACGAUCCGUAGCUGGUCUGAGAGGAUGGUCAGCCACACUGGAACUGAGACACGGUCCAGACUCCUACGGGAGGCAGCAGUGGGGAAUAUUGGACAAUGGGCGCAAGCCUGAUCCAGCCAUACCGCGUGGGUGAAGAAGGCCUUCGGGUUGUAAAGCCCCUUUGUUGGGAAAGAAAAGCAGCAGGUUAAUACCCCGCUGUUCUGACGGUACCCAAAGAAUAAGCACCGGCUAACUUCGUG
This 492-nucleotide ribosomal RNA is filed under the name uncultured bacterium. RNAcentral's name for it is "partial 16S ribosomal RNA". It matches the Rfam family "Bacterial small subunit ribosomal RNA", at positions 29 to 507 of the family's 1533-position model. The record is from RNAcentral.